RNAcentral lists this microRNA precursor (89 nucleotides) under Aegilops tauschii. RNAcentral describes it as "MIR528 microRNA precursor family". It matches the Rfam family "MIR528 microRNA precursor family". The record is from Rfam by way of RNAcentral. RNAcentral also lists the same sequence under 1 other name. Lineage: Eukaryota; Viridiplantae; Streptophyta; Magnoliopsida; Poales; Poaceae.
GUGGAAGGGGCAUGCAGAGGAGCGGCCAUGGCCCAUGGGAGCUUUGCUUGCCUUGCCUCUCGCUCUCUCCUGUGCCUGCCUCUUCCAUU